This 3154-nucleotide long non-coding RNA is filed under the name Salvia miltiorrhiza (redroot sage). RNAcentral's name for it is "long non-coding RNA (SMIL_LNC001517)". The record is from RNAcentral. Lineage: Eukaryota; Viridiplantae; Streptophyta; Magnoliopsida; Lamiales; Lamiaceae.
AGGGAGUCCAACAAUGAACGGGAUUUAUUCAAACUGCCAGCCAUAAAUUAGUUGAAAGGAUCGGCUUUAUUAUGCAUGAUAGAAUUCAAUCAAUCAAGAGACUCUUCUUCUUGAGUAGCUUGUGAGGUAUGAUGGGCUAAGCAAAAGACAGUCAGUUUAAAGAGAAAACUCCAUAUAUAACCACCUUCAUAAAGCAUAAGAUGAUACUAUCAUAAGUAGCCUAUCAAUCAAAUAACACCAUUUGAUUCCUACAUCACAAGCUCUGAAUGCUUAUAAAUAAGUAGGUAAGCUAUCAUAAACCUAAUGGGAACAUCAACACAAAUGAUGUUCUGUACAAAUGCUUCAUUGCAAUUUCACCAUGUUCUUCAUAUAUGAAGAACCAAAUCAAUAAUCAGAUGCCACAAUGACCUUUUAUAGAGUUUGCCGAAUUGGAAGUUACAUGCAUGAAUUAGACAAACCUUGGCAAACCUUCAGGAGUCCUCUCUUCAGCCAAUUGCUCCAGUUGCUCUCUUAAAGUGGCCACAUACUAAAUAUUACAAUCACAAACAAAACAAUGAAUUUCUUAUUUUUCAAUAAAUAAAAAAAAUUCAAACCAAAUCCAAUUGACAGUAAAUCAGGUAAUCAAAAAAACACACUAGAUGGUCAAAAAUAGCUUGAAGAAUCAAGAACUAUAUUCUCACUAAACUGUCCCUACAUUAAUCAACAAAAGAUAUAAAUAUAUGCUUGAUUGGAAAUGAUGAACAUAAUGUAUGAGUGAAUAAUUAUGAAGAUCAUACAUGUAUAAGCUUUCCCUGAUUUUGUUGCUGCGGAGCUGUUGCAAGUAACCUUCUCAAAUUCACUUCAGUUUUGCUCAAGCCCAUCACGAAUCCAAAGCACGUAUAGUUAAAAGACCAACUGAGAUAAACAGCAGGAUAAUAGCUGAUUAUUAAAAGGUAAAUUACUAAAAUCAAUCAGUCUGUACAAAAUUAUUAUGGUAGAUGAACAUCCAUCACAGACUUGGAGGAUUAGUCAUUGACUUUAAAAUCAAGUCAUAAGUUCACUAGUCAAAUUAAACUUCAAGUUUACCAGGAACAGAACAUGUAAACAUCAAAUUCCAAUAGUUAGAUUUUGUUUCGACAUGAUCAUGAAUUCAUGAUUAAAUCAUAACUAGUGUUUGUUAUGGAUAAGAAAGUUCACUACAAGUAAUGCACUUUAGAAUUCCAUAAAUAAGGUUAAGUAAUUUAAUGAGUUCCAACAGUAUUAAGUUAGAUUUUAAUGAGGAAAUUAUUAAAAAUAGUAAUUAGCAUCUAGCAAAAUCAAACAGUGCAGUUAAAAAGUUAUGUAGCUAAUAUGCAAAUCCCUAAUUUUUACCCAACCCACAAAGUAUGCACCGAAAAAAGGAGAAAAGUAAAAGUUUUAAGGCCUUGAUUACUUUUCCCCUAUUCCUUCAGUCACAUAAAGAUUUCUGAGAACCUAGUGUGGCUUUUUUUCACUUGUUGUAUUCAGACUCUGAAUACAACUAGGGCGGAGCAUUUGGGCAGUUCGGUCCCAAACUGAACUGAACCGAAAAAACCGAAAACUGAAUUUUGCUAAAUGCUAAAAAUCUAAACAGAACUGAAACGGUUUCAAUUUUUGGUUUGGGCUAAACCAAAUUCUUCUUUUGCAGCUUCUUGCGCCUGGAGCCAAAUGUAAAUAACACUUCCACCGUCCACGAAGAUAAUACAGCAGCUACCUUAUUUGGCAUCCACAAAGAGUUUACUACAUUCCUUUUUAGGACAUGACCACACACUCUCUCCUUAUAUUUCAACCUUACAAACACCUCUUAUUUACCAAAAACCACCCCUAACCCACACUCAAUUCAACCACAACCGCUCAUUUCUACAUGGUGGAACCCUUUAUCCUCUAAACACACAUCCACCAACUACUUUAUUAACACAUGUGCUGAACCCAAUUCUUUGUGGACAGAGGGAGUAACAAUUCGAUGCCAGAAUUUUACAUAAUUCAAUUCAUUUGAGCUACAACAAGCUCUUAUCUCUUAUAACUUAUUAAAGCCAAGUGCAGCCAUGUUUUGGAAUCUGCUCUGUUUGAGCUUGAAGAAAGAAGCUCCCGUUUCAUUUUUAAAAAAAAGAUUAGCUGAUGAAAUUUUGUAUAUAGAAUCAACUCAAAUAUAUUCUGACAUUUACUUUCAAAGAUGAUGAGCACAUCUUUUACCAAUGCAGAACAUUCCAUCCUUAUUGUGUUAAAACAGUUCUAAAGACAAACCUAAAUUUAAAGUGCAAUGCAUAUAACUACCUGAAUAUCUAUGCUUCCACAUAUCAUAGUAGCUCUUAUCUAUAUAUCUAUAAAAGCCAACGUUCAUCAUUCAUUGAAGGAAAGUUUAUUCUAGAAAGAGUAACAAGUUUGCCCCAAAUUACAGCGGAAAAAAAUAAUCAAAAAUCGAACUCUUAAAACAUACAAAUAGCCUGCCGGCUUACCUUAAAUACCGGAAAUUGGGCUUUGGAAACUGCUGCUUCUGCGGAGUCAGAGGACGGAGACGCCGAGGCCGAAGGAGGCGGGGCGGGGCGACAGGGAAGGCUAGGAGAGGGCGGCACAGUCGCGCACCGCUGGUUGCAGAGCUGGGACGGAGCGGGGGUAGUGAGAGAGAAAUUGGAUAGAGAGAUGAGGGUGGUCGUAGUGGUGGUCGACGGCGAAGAGACGCCGGAUCUUAGGAAUCGAGAGAACCGGUGAGUGAGAGACGGAGAGAUGCAGGAUAGAAAAGAAAAAGUAAAAGAGAAAAAGAAGAAAAAGAAGUUAAUUGCAUAUACACGAACUUUGCCACAAAUUUAUUUUCCCAUCAUCUUUAAAAAUUUUAUUUUUUAUCAAAUAUUUUGAUAUUUGUUCAAUUAUUUUAUGAUUUUUUUUUUAUAACCAAAAAAAUGAUGUAACAGUGACAUGAAUUUAAUUUUAAACGUAACACUAAAGUAGAAUAUAUAUGAAUUUUAAAUUAUAAGAUUACAUAUUCAGACUUUAAUCUUGGAUUUCUUUUUCAACUGAAUUUACAUUUUGCAAACAGAAUGAAAUCAUGACCCAUUUAUGGACAAAAUCGAAAAUGCAAUCAGAUUCAAGUAAAAAUGAAAUCCAAAUUCAGUAAAAUGGGUAAAGAAAUUUUUCAAUCCAAAUUCAGUAAAUGGGUAAC